RNAcentral lists this ribosomal RNA (465 nucleotides) under uncultured bacterium. RNAcentral describes it as "partial 16S ribosomal RNA". It matches the Rfam family "Bacterial small subunit ribosomal RNA", at positions 28 to 507 of the family's 1533-position model. The record is from RNAcentral.
GACGAACGCUGGCGGCGUGCUUAACACAUGCAAGUCGAACGGAAAGGCCCUGCUUGCAGGGUACUCGAGUGGCGAACGGGUGAGUAACACGUGGGUGAUCUGCCCUGCACUUCGGGAUAAGCCUGGGCAACUGGGUCUAAUACCGGAUAGGAGCCAUUUUUAGUGUGAUGGUUGGAAAGUUUUUUCGGUGUAGGAUGAGCUCGCGGCCUAUCAGCUUGUUGGUGGGGUAAUGGCCUACCAAGGCGGCGACGGGUAGCCGGCCUGAGAGGGUGGACGGCCACAUUGGCACUGUGAUACGGCCCAGACCCCCACGGGAGGCAGCAGUGGGGAAGAUUGCACAAGGGGCGGCCGGCUGGUGCAGCGAAGCCGCGAGCGGGUUGACGGCCUUCGGGUUGUAAACUCCUUUCGCUAGGAACGAAGCUUAUUGUGACGGUACCUAGAUAAGAAGCCCCGGCUAACUACGUU